This 1994-nucleotide long non-coding RNA is filed under the name Equus caballus (horse). RNAcentral's name for it is "lncRNA (ENSECAG00000033639.3)". Lineage: Eukaryota; Metazoa; Chordata; Mammalia; Perissodactyla; Equidae. The record is from RNAcentral.
AUGGUUACUAUGAUAAAUUUUAUGUUACCUGCAUUUUACCACAACUAAAAACAAUUUUUUAAGUAAAAAAAAAAAGUCAAUUUUUCCACUGGGCUGUCUUUUUCUUUUUGAUUUGUAGGAGCUCUUUAUAUAUUAUCAACAGUAAUCCUUUUUUCUGUUACGGGUGCUAACAAUAUUUUUUUCUAGUCUGUUGCUUUUCUUCGAGUGGAUUGUAUUUAUGUAAGGCCAGAACUUAGCUGGAAGUAUGCUUUUUCUCCCCAAAUCUUGACUUCAUUAGUAACACAGAUGCUUCUCUCUUGCUGAAAAACAAAAUUGGAGGCAGCCGGGGGUGAGCGAGGUCAUCAUCAUUGGCUUGCAGGCUUUAAAGGCAGAGGUGUCUCCGAUUAGAGGCAGCUGCUGGGAGAGUCAUCUGGGAAUCUGCAGGCAGCGAGGCAGUCCUGUGUAACCUGCUGGCAGAGGAGAAGAGGGAAGUGGCUGAGCCAUUGCAGCCACACAAGGAGGGGCCGCACAGGGAAAGAAACUGCCGUGUCUGACACCCAAGUGCAGCUGCCACUGUGUUUCCACACAGCAGGUUUCCAUCUAGAAGGUUCCGCUGAUGGGGUUCACUAGAGGCCAAAGCUGACUCGCAGGGUGGUGGUCACAAAGAUGCAGACACAUCUCAAACCGCAGGUGCUUCCAGGCGCCACGCAGGACUGGGGUUGGCGUGAUGGGCACAGAAAAUGCCUUUGCAGUGGAACGAGCCUAUGAGGUUAGAACUGCCAUUGCCCCCAUUUUACAGAUGGGCAAAUUGAGGCACGGCCAAGCCAAGGAACCACCAAACAAUGCCGCUGCUUUCUCCCCAAGCCCCAGCCCUCUCCUUCCAUCUGUAGAAGGCAGAAACCCUUUUGCCAAAACUCUGCUUCCUCUCACAUUUGUCUAUCAGCUCUCCAACCACAGACACGUUGGCAUAUUACCUAAAAAUUGUUCACCAUAUACCAGAUUGGGGAGGACGUGCUUUACCUGUACCCCACCAGCUGUGCUUCCGUUCGGGACAUCCACAGAUGCCCUGAUGCUGUAGGGGGAACCACGGUCGUGUGCCUGUAUGCAGGGACGUGCAUUUUCUGCAGAAAGAAUGCAUGCCUCUCACCAGCCUCUCAAAGGCAUCCUCCGAGAGGUUAAGAACGACUGUUCUAGGCUAAUGGCCGUUUCUAAGGCCAAAGUAAACACCACAGAGCAAAUAAGAGACAUCUCCAUGUGUCCUACAACUUGGCCCAAUACGUAGAAGGCUCUCAAUCAAUACUUGUGGAUGAAUGAUGGAGCUGCUGGUAGCAUGGCAAGACGCACGAGAUGGGGUUCCUACCCUGCUCCCCAGUUAGGAGCCGAGGCGUAGACAGAUUCUUGCAGCAGAGGGAGGAAGGGAAGCUGGAGGAAGAGGCAGAGAAGGGACAGUUGAAGGAGGAGGAGAGCCAGAGACGAAGAGACUUCCACGAAUAAGAGGCUGGCACCUUCAUCAGGGAGAUGGACGUAGGACUUCCGGGAAUAAGCUGGGGCCCCGCAUCAGAAGCGCGGCAAGAAAGAGAGAUGGCCCCAGGGUGUGGAUGCCAACUGUGGACAUCAUGGGACUCUUUAUUUGGAGGCUCCACUCCCUCUUCCAGGCCCCGAGGCCGGAGCAGGGGCCUUCCAGCACUGUCCAGUCUGCUCCCCCCAGCCUGCCUUUGCACAGUAAAAUGGCUAAAUUUCCCCAGAAAGCAACCGACCAGAGAACCAAAGACUGUCUCCUGUUGCCAACCUCUUUCUUGGGUUGCUAGGACCAGCCCCCGGUCCCGGGGUCAAAUAUUCGUGGUGUGAUUUAAUCAGAGGCUUCUGGCGCCUUCCCAAAUCUAACGCGAGCACGUGUGAACUCCGCUGCCCCUUUCUCUCAGCCCUGUGGAGAUCAGGUCAGAGGCCCCGAAUGUUUUCACUGACCCAGAGUGGGGAGCUGGAUCACAGAAACAUUAACACACAGAGACCGGUCC